This is a long non-coding RNA of Hipposideros armiger (great roundleaf bat), 1164 nucleotides long. RefSeq lists it as uncharacterized. The record is from RefSeq and is a predicted model, not a curated record. The transcript has 3 exons. NCBI's taxonomy places the organism in Eukaryota, Metazoa, Chordata, Mammalia, Chiroptera, Hipposideridae.
CACCGGGGCGUGGCCGAAGGAAAGGGAAGAAUCUUGGGAUACCGCCCACCGAGAUGGGCUGCCUGCCCUUUCAAAUGGAUUCUCACAUCCCUGAGGGUACCAGCUUGUGUGUCCAGGGGGACCCCAGGCCACAGAAUGCCCGGAGCCUCCAUUCUACUGUACCAUCUUGUGGAUAAAGCUAGAUGACUCUAAGUGCACUUAAGACACAUCAAAUUAAAGCGGGAGCUCCCAAGGGCAGAGACCAGAUCUGAUUCAUCUGUGAGCCUCCAGUGGCCCAGCAGAGAACUGAGCACACAGCGGAUGCCCUUGGAAUAGUAAUAACGGUAAUAAUAGCAACAGUAAUAGCUAAUACCUACAGCACUGAGGAUAUGGCAGGCACUGCUCUAAGUGCUUGACAUGUAUUAAUCUAGUUAGUCCUCACCACAGCCCUAUGAUGUGGAUAUUAUUGCCCCCAUUUUACAACUGAGUCAACAGGCACAGGGAGGUUAAAAGCCUUGCCCCAAGUCACAAAGCUCGUGAGUGGUAGAGCGGGUGUAUUCGCUUAGCUAGUCUGGCUCCACAUCCCACAUUCAUGUUACAGUGCCCAUUUAACUGAAUGUUUAUUAAAUGAAUGAAUGAAUGAAUCAGUGAACUUGCUCAAGACCAUAUUUAAGAAGUCUGUUUAAUAACAGCAAAAGAAUAUGCUCCGGCUCCAAUAUUAAGUGAAAACAUCAGCAGUGAAAUAUUACACGUAAUUUGACUGCAAUUAGGGGUGCAUAAGGAAAAGACUGUCAAGAACAAGUAUAUUCCACAAUCCCACAAGCACUAUUCUGGGUGAUUUCUGAUUUCAUUUCUCUAUCCUUGAAAUUUUCUACAUUAAAGAAACUAUUAUCCUUAUCAUGAAUUAGAAAAGAAACAAAUCUUUAUUAUGGAAAAUGGAAGUCUAUGGACAGGCUUAUAAAUCUCCCUGAAAUCCUUCCACUUUUGUUCUUUUUUUGUUUCAUCUUUUUACUUUCAAGCUUUCUGUUUUAGUUGGGUCUCUUCUAUUUAGCAUAUAGUACAGUUUAUUUUUUUUAUUCAAUCAGAUCAUUUUUUUCUUUUAGUGGGCGAGCUUAUCCAAUUUAUAGUUGUCAUUUUAUUUUAUUUGCAUUUAAAAAAUAAAUUUGAUAUGUGAUCUGGGUUUUC